GGGGAAUAUUGGACAAUGGGGGCAACCCUGAUCCAGCAAUGCCGCGUGUGUGAAGAAGGCCUGAGGGUUGUAAAGCACUUUCAGUGGGGAGGAGGGUGAUUAGGUUAAGAGCUAGAUUACUGGACGUUACCCACAGAAGAAGCACCGGCUAACUCCGUGCCAGCAGCCGCGGUAAUACGGAGGGUGCGAGCGUUAAUCGGAAUUACUGGGCGUAAAGAGUGCGUAGGUGGUUGGAUAAGUUAUCUGUGAAAUCCCUGGGCUUAACCUGGGCAGGUCAGAUAAUACUGUUUAACUCGAGUAUGGGAGAGGGUAGUGGAAUUUCCGGUGUAGCGGUGAAAUGCGUAGAGAUCGGAAGGAACACCAGUGGCGAAGGCGGCUACCUGGCCUAAUACUGACACUGAGGCACGAAAGCGUGGGGAGCAAAC
Molecule: ribosomal RNA, 425 nt
Filed under: uncultured bacterium
Lineage: Bacteria
Description: bacterial SSU rRNA
Rfam family: Bacterial small subunit ribosomal RNA
Source: RNAcentral